This is an RNA transcript of Triticum aestivum (bread wheat), 4408 nucleotides long. RefSeq lists it as uncharacterized. NCBI's taxonomy places the organism in Eukaryota, Viridiplantae, Streptophyta, Magnoliopsida, Poales, Poaceae. The record is from RefSeq and is a predicted model, not a curated record. The transcript is spliced from 4 exons.
UCCUUCCUUUACCUUCUCCUCACCAUCGACGACCUCCUCCCCUCCCCCUCGCCCCAAAUCGAGCAGCAGGCCUGGAUCCAACGCAGGCUCAGAUCCGGCCCCUGCCCCUCAGUCCUCACCACGCCUCUCUCGCCUUCUUCCCUCUUGGCUCGUCGUUCCGGUGGUGGCGGCUCGUUGAUGAGCACGGCGGCGAGGUGGAGGAAAACGAGUAGCGGCAUGGAUCUGGUCACGGUGGAGUCGGAGCACAAAACCCGACGGCCCGCUCUCAACUGCGACUUUACAUGGUUCCUAGCCGCCGUCUCCUGGAGCUGCUCCGCACAUCUCUGCCCGCCCAACAGCCCCUCCACGCCGGCUGUCCGGAGCUGCACCGCACACUGCAGCAAGAUGAUGCUGAUUCAUGAAGUACGUUACAACAAAUUGCAAUCAUGUGUAUUCUGAUUUUUGGCCACGCCGUGUCACGUCGAGGCACAUCUGCAGAAAUUGAAGGACAUGGGUGGCAUGUGCUCCAUUAAGCAGAGCACUUUUAAGUUACUUUCUACAGGAUGAUCAUUCCCAAUAUUUAGUCUUCGCUGCUCUGUUCCAAUGAAGAACGAAUCGGUUUGCUUGGCAUCAGUGAAAAAAAAUCAUUGCUUAGCUCAAGUUUAAAUAUGUUCCUUAAUAGCUGGAGUGCCCUUCGUCAGCGAGGAGGCCCAGGGUGACACCGCUGCCGGCGCCGGUGCUCCCCAAUGUAGCCACUCCGAUGACAGCCAGGAUUGUUGCUGUGUGUCUCCAGUUCCUUGAAGUCAUGUACAUGCACAUGCCCGCGUCUGAUUUGUUCUCGUGGUCGCGUUCCUGCCGUAGCUACAUCCACGACUGUGCAGGUUUAGCCGUCCUUUCUUUAAUCCCCUUUUUUGUUUACCCUCAUUUCUCUUGUAUUGUUCCUGAGAGAGCCUAGGCCUGAUGUCCUCUUUCCAGGUGAGGCGUUUGUUGCCUUGCUUAAUUUUGUUUAUUAGAUAUUACCUGCCUAUGCUUCAUCCUAUUUUUGCAAUGAGAUCUAUUGUUUACAUAUGUGCUAAUUUCUAUGACUAAGGAGACUGUCAGUUCUGCCAAUGACGCUAAAUACUUACAGUUAGGAAAUAACAGUCCCCGUAUCGGAAGGCAUGUUUAUUUUGUCUUGAAUUGAAAGAAUUACUAAAUAAGAAGGCUAGCUUAGGUUCUAAUAAUUGUUCAAACAUACUAUAUACUCCUAACAGAAAUGUAAAACAAAGACAUGGACAAAUUAUUUCUGCUAUGUGAUGAGAAGAACUAUUUUAAUAGAUAUGGAAAUGCUUUUUUAAAUUAUAUGUCUACUCUGCCAUGCUUGCCAAUAUCCACUUCUGCUGCAAGUGCUUCUAUAAUUGCAACUUCUGGAAGUGUGUGGUUUGAAGAUAUGAGAUGUGAUUCAGUUACAUAAAUGUUUGAACGGGAACUUAUGAAUUAGAAGGGAAUAACUGCCUUGCCUUACAAAAGUUCGUGUAAGGGAAAGGAUUGCCUCAGCUAACACUAUAUUUAUAGGAAAGAUACAUGCAAAUUCAAGAGCGUAAUAAGAUAAUUAUUUUUUCCUUCCAGAACAAAGGCCUGUUUGUGCCAGGGACUAACAUAUUUCAUAGUAGACAUGAUUUAUACCUUUUAGGACCAGUACAAUUUUCAUACAAUCAUGAAUCAUGGUUUUAUCUUUUGAAGUCGAUACAUUUUAAUUUAUUGUUUUAUUCCCCUGAAUGUUUACCUAAGCACAUAGCUGCUAUUCACUGUAUCUUUUGUCAGAUGGCUUCUAUCACCCUUGCUAAUCUAUGUUGCGGAAGACAAAAUCAAAUGCUAUGUGUCCGGGUGUCUUGGCUAAGGCAUUUUCGCAGCGAUAUAGAGAGCGGUCCUAUCAAGCUCAUACACAUGUUCAUCAUCGACGUGCAGGGUAGCUAGAGUUAUGCAGUUGUACCAACAUCAUUUGCUGGUGCUUAUCUACACAUCUUACAAGAGGGGAUUAUCUAUAAGCUUGGCUACUUGAUGGUCUUGCCACUGCUAAACAUACUGAAUCCUGCUGCAGCUCCACGUAUGAGUUUAUCUCAGGUACCACUGAAAUUUAACUAAUAAUAUGUAGCAUCUUGCCACCAAACAGAUUCAUAUGUGGUCACUAAAUUCAAUGUCUAUAAACUUUUCUGUACUCAUAUACAGUUAGCAUAUUGAUUGCAUUCUCUACUCUCAUAUGGUAUUGUAUCUUCAACUACUUGCAGAAAUAUAUUUUCUAACUUGGUUUAGUUUUAUUAAUGUCUCACCAAGGGUGAUGGAUGCUUGCCGAAAGGGCAUUAUCUAUACUUUUCAUAGUGCAAAACGACAUGUCAUGGCAAGAUUGAUUGUUUGGUAGAAUGAUUACUCCUGCAUUAUAGCGCUACCUAUGAAAAUUGAAAGGAAGAGUUGUGGUGGUAUCACGUGGAUGAUUUUUUGAUUAUUAGUUUGCUUCUCAAUGAUUUUUUCAAUAUUGGAGGGUCAUCUGCUGAGACUUGGUUUGUGCCACGACAUUCUUUUGAAUUGCUAAUACCCUUUUGUUUGUGAUAUUUCUUUACAUUUGCUAUGGAAAAAGACGCUACAUAUUAUUAGUUAAAUUUCAUUUGUACCUGAGAUAAACUGAUCGCGUUGUAUCUCGUAUGUCCUGUUGAAUAGAAGGAAUCAAGGAAAUGAUGGCGUUAGUCUUGAUAUGGGGAAGCGUUAAGUUCACGCAUAGGACAUAUGCCACUGAUACCAGUACAACACAGUUUUUGUGUGUUGCAAGGUAGCCUUUCUUUUUUAUUUGCUGGUUCCUCAGAUCACUACCUUUUCUUCUUUAGAACUUACUCCAAGUGACAUGUACUGAUAAGCAUAUUCCUCAUAUCACUACCUUUCCUUUAGAACACACACAACAUAUCCAGACAAACUCAGGUACCACCCUCUCAUACACAUGGUGCUACCCUCUAUCUCUAACAGUAUGCACACAUAGGAACCAUUGCAUAACUUUGAUUCUCACUUUAGCUCCUAAAAGUGUUCCAUUUCAAUGUGCUGAUGAACCUUCUCUUGGUUGCACUACAAACUACGGAAAUGAUGCAUGGGAGACAUGGCAUGAUCAUUAGAUCAACCUAUGACUUUAUAAGUGAUACUAUAUUAAUUUAUUUUUUAAUAGCACUGGAAUCUCUUUGCUCUUUUCUUCUAGUUUACAAGGAUCUUAAGGCUAAUUCAUUGUGUGAUUUGUCCAUAAUGGUUAUUCUUGAACAAGAAUCUUAAGAUAAUCCAUCCUUCUUCAAGAAGACUCUGUAUGUACUAUGUAGGUUAGUCAUCAUUUGUACAAACAAUUUUUGCACCAACGUUUCAUCCAUGUAAUGACACGUAUUUUCAGCAUGACAUGGAUAAACAAAAUUGAUAUUUGAUAUGGGACGCAUGGUUGUAUAAUAUUUUCCUGCAUGUCUUCUCCUGUAGCCACCUACCAACCAUACCUAUCACUAUUGCGACUUAUAUUCUCUUUGCCUGUUCAAUUUCUUUCUCAUUGCUCUUCAGUUGAUCAAUUCCAACAUGGUACCCCAUGCCCACGAUACACUCAUCGUCACUGCUCCGAUCCGCCCGACCCCAGUGACUCAGCUACUUCCUAUCAUCACCUGGUACUUCUCUUUGCUUGAUGCUCCUGCGCUGCUUGUUGUGCUCGCCGUUUCUGCUAUAUCUAAUUUCAGGCAUUAUGGUUCAGUGGGUGACUAGAAGACCUGGUAGAUUUUAGUAAAAUGACCUAUAUAUUGGUUUCAAAACAUAGCGAGACUAAGUCCUGAUAUACUUGGCUACUUUUUUCUUUUUGCAUCAGUUCUGAGUGGUAUAUGGAAUAUGGGGUUUGCAGAGUUAAGUAGUGAGACAUCAUUUUAUGUGGUAAUUGUACCCUGGUGCAAUAGUUGUUUUGAUCCAAUUCCAGUAUUAUGUUAGCUUACGUUAAUGAUAUGGGAACUCUGAAGAAAAUUCUAUAUGGCCGAUCCAUAUUCAUGAGUUGUGCAUGUGCGAUAUGGCUGGUUGUUUAUGCAUUCUUGCUCUUUAGACCUUUGUUGGGCGACAAUACCAUUUGGUACAGAACAUGCUGCUUCCGAUUUCUUUGCACUUCAAUCUCAAAAUUUUCUUGAUGUUUUUUAUGUUAUUUUCAGGAGCAAUUUAAGAUCGAAAAGGAUGAUGGGAGGAUGCAACUGACACAGUAGCAUGCUCCGUGUCAAAUGGCAUAUUUAUCUUUCUUUUUACCUAGAUGAGAAACAGUAACAUGUGAAACAUAACGCAACAUACUCUGUUGCCUGGAGUGAGAGUCUAGAUAUAGAGGGCAUUGCCCAUAAAUCUUCAUUGUACUAGCUUGUCACUUCUAUAAACUAUCACUAAAUUUAGUAUGCAUGUUAUUUCUUCU